CGACGUUGGACGAGCCUGCGAACCAGGGGUCGAGGAUGAAGACGCACCUGAAGGUCGUGGCCCCUUUGAGGCCUUCGAGGAGGCUGGGGUUGUCGUGCAGACGCAGUCCCUUGCGGAACCAAUGCACCGUGUGCUUGUCUGCCUGCGGGGACACUCUGCUCGCUUCGCUCAUCCUUCGGCGGUGCUAGUCAUUUUUUUUUGUCUUCUGCCAAAUCCUUCGGCCGCCCAAUAAUAUAAAUUUCUUUGAUUCCGACGCCUCAAGUUAGGUUCCGUGCGCUUCGGCCGACCAGUUCGUCUCGCCUGUGCCUUGCUGAGGCCCACACCGCAGGCAACGUGACCCGCGCUCCGCUGACGUCGCGCCCGUCUCGAUUGGUCCAGCCUGGUCACAUGGUCGCGGCAGUCACGUUGCGAGGAGCAAGACGCGUGCACCCGUCCGCUCACGUGUCCGUCGCCCUACCACACGCCGAUCGAUUCAAGUAGUGAAUUCAUCCGCCACCGCAGGCUUCCUCCCUCCGACACCCCUUUUAUUUUUCGCAAUUUUUUUCCCUCAAAUUUUUGGUAAUUGAUAAAAGAGAGCAGUUAUUAAACGCAGACAACGGACACGCGCCGCUUUUGGGUGCGUUUUCGCACUUUAUUCGAAGCUAAUCGGCGGAACAGGGAAAUGACGCAAAUUAUCAUUUUGCCACAUUCGGGAAUGGAAUUUAUUUCGCAUUGUGAAUGUACGUGUGAAUAAAUGAGCCAGAAAUUCACGUGGCCAAUGUUUUGUCCUAAAUUGAUUUGCAAAAUCGUAAAUAUUGCGUGAAAAUCUACUAUAACGUUUUUUUUUUAAUUUCAUUCGAUUUUCAAUUAGUACAUAGAACAACAAAAUUUUAUUAGAUUCGAUCAAUAAUCAUUUUUAUAAAUAUAUUAAUAAAUUUAUUUUAAAUCUUAAGAUGUGCUUUAAAUUUAUGUUAUUUUGUUUCAAAUAGGAAUUUUUUUCCAAUAAUCACUGAACUAGAGGGCAAUGACAAUGACAAAAUAAUAACAAUAGCAACAAUAGUAAUAAUAGGCAACCUGUCAAUGUCAAGCGAGGGUAGGCAUACUGCUUUGCAUUCUAGUCAUGCUUGUUGCAUAUAUAAAUACGAGUCAUUCCAUUUCCGUUACCGGCAAGACUUUCAUAAGAAUUUAGAUGCGAUAAAUUUUUAUGUACGUCAAGCUUGGAUUAUCUACAAUUUUGAUGGAUUUUUUUCAUCUCAGGCAUCUUAUUCAUUAAUAAUGGAAUCCUAUCUGGAGGAUCCCUUCCUAUCGACAGUGAAUAAGAGAUUAGAAAUUCCGUUCAUAAAUUGAAUUGAAGCGUGUCCGUUUUUAUAUAAGUGCUAACCAAUGAAUUUUAUUCAUCGGAGUAUGUGCGUCAUCCUCAUAUGAUUUUAAGUGAGCUUCUUGACAGUCAGUAGCUCUCUUGGAAACAUUAUAUUUGAAAGUUAAAUCUGCGCCGAUCAAGCCACUGCUGCAUGAAUAAUAAUGAAUGGGCGAAUAAAUGAAUCCUUAGUAUGGUGACGCUUUAUUGACCUGCGACUUGUUGAAUUAGUUAAAAUAAAUCUUGGAAUUUCUAGUUAUGGAUGUGUAUUGAUUAUAUUCUUUUGAAUUUUUUUCUGGGAAUUUGCAAAAUAAAAUCACUAGAUAUCGCUCUAUUAAAAAGGGCGGAACGGCGGAAGGGAAAAUAGAGGUGGCGAAUGAAAUUUGUUGACAAGAUGAAUCUCAACAUUUUUCUUACAAAAAUAUUUUACUGAUUAAAAAAAUAGAAGAUAAUAUUUCUAAAUAGGACAAUAGGAGAUUAUUCUUCUUUACUGCGAAAGUGACACAAUUAAACCUUGUUGGCUCAUUUUCUUUUAUAUUAUUUUGACGAAGUUAUUCAAAUAUAAAAUUGGUUGAUUUUUAUCAAAUCUUGAAAACUUAUUGAUUUGUUCGUCUCCAUUUAGUAUUAGGGCGUUAGAAAUGUUGAAUUGUCACAGAAAACUGGUUAUUCAUUUCCUAACGUGAGUUCAUGCAGUUGACAUAAGCAUAAAUGUUAAUUUCCAUUGACGCCGGCACCGGAGCGCGUCAUCCAGCAUAUAUUAUCACUUUUAAUUAAUAAAAAAAUCAUAUAUUUAUAACACAAAUAGAUGUCAAUAUUGCUCUAGCGGAUGGUGUGGAAUAAUUAUUUUAUUCCUCUCUUAAUUUGUUUGUUUUGACUGUGGCUGUGUCAUCGGAGAACUUCAUUGUUUUUUUUUAUUAUUAUUAUUCAAUUAAUUUUCGGCUUACAAUUAAAUUCAUUUUUUAAGGGCUUUCUUUUUAAUUAUUUUUUUUUUAAUUUCUGGCAAUUGUUUUAAGUUGAAUUCUUACAAAUAAAUCUUGCAUUUAUUUUAAAUUUAAAGUAGCUUUAAAUUUACAAAUAAUUAGUAUAAAUUCAAUUGGAAUUAGCUUGUAAAAUUCAUGGGAUUCUAUUUCGAUACAAGGGAAUUUAUAAAGGCAUUUUAGAAUUCAACUGCAGAUUCACAGAACUUUCUAGAUGCAUCUAGAAAGUUCUCAAUGUAAAUCAAAUGGGUGGGUGGGUUUUGCACGACCCUCCCAGGGCUGCUACCCGCGCUAUAAAAGGCGCUCCGUCCGCUGGCUCGAUGCAGAAGGCUGACAGACCUCAGAGAAAUCCGAGGACACCUGGACUUCCAGUGCAGUUUCGGACACCCGUCCGAACCCUUCGCACUCGUCCGAGCCGUCCCAAGGCCCCGACCGCUGUCUCGUCCCGACGCUGUCUCGUCCGAGGACAGCCGGAAGGCCGACCGCGUCCCGAGCCCCUCGAGCGGCACGCCUGUGUCCAUCGUACUGUCCGGGGUGUGGCCGAGCCGUCCGAAGCCGUACGGAGCAGUUUUGCCAGCUCCUUCCUGUCCGAGGAAUCGGGCGCCGACGUGGCACGUCGCCAGCGAGCGCUCGGACGAAGGCGUCCGAACGUCCGCCGCCAGAGACCCGCACGCCGUGGGCCCCGGCCGCGCCGAGAGCCGCCGCCGACCUGCAGGGAGCCGUCCGGGUUCCCAGCAAGGACGUUUCCAGGGCAGCCAGCCGGCCUACCCAGGGAACACCGCUCCCAUUUGUUUAUUUUCCAAGAGACAUUAUACGGACAAUUUCGAGCCAGUGAAUUUACCCUAUCCAGCCAGAAUUGUUGUGAAUACAAUAAAGCCCGUGUGUAAGCCAACUUACAUUGUUUUAAACAAUUACAAAUUAAUCAUAAUAAUUUACACAAUAGAAAUUACUGAACAAUUACCCAUUAAUAAUUUAUUAAGCAAUUAAAUAAUCAGUCAGUAUAAUCAUAUGCAAACCCCUUACUUGCAACUUCUUAUUAUCAUUUUGGUUUGCAAUAAACUAAAUUUGUAAUACCAAUUGGCGAUCCUGGCACUCCUGGGGAUUAUACUGACA
Neocloeon triangulifer is the source of this 3426-nucleotide long non-coding RNA. RefSeq lists it as uncharacterized. The transcript is spliced from 3 exons. NCBI's taxonomy places the organism in Eukaryota, Metazoa, Arthropoda, Insecta, Ephemeroptera, Baetidae. The record is from RefSeq and is a predicted model, not a curated record.